Molecule: long non-coding RNA, 1475 nt
Filed under: Capra hircus (goat)
Lineage: Eukaryota; Metazoa; Chordata; Mammalia; Artiodactyla; Bovidae
Description: lncRNA (ENSCHIG00010022508.1)
Source: RNAcentral
AUGCUCCUGUGUCACCAGCCCUGGGUCACAUGUCUGGCAGCACUAAUCAUUCUGUUGGGAAUGCUGGGAGACCCUGGCAAGUCCUCAGGAUUCCCAGUCUUUCUGCCUGUAAACUGGGGAUGUGGAAGCCCAAGGAAAUGCAUACAUACAGUCACUAGGUCCUGGGACUGCACGUGCUUGAGUUUUAGUGUUUGCUCUCUUUCGUUGGCAGCAGCACUGGGGAAUCCAGUCAUUUAUACCCCACUCUCCAGCCCGAGGGCCCCGCUUGCAGGAGCUCCCAAGCCAACAAUCUCAAUAACCUCUGAGAGGGAAAAAUCAAGUGAGAAUGAGGCCCAUCUGGGGCUGCCCCCACCCCCAGGCUGCCAGUUCUGCUUCUGUGGGCCAGCUUAGAGUUAGGGGUCAUUAGGGCCACCCGCCAGCCAGCUGGGUGCUCGAUGAGAGCUCCCCUCCCAGGCAAAGCAAUUUUCUUCCCUAGAAAGCGCUUCCGUGGCCAGAGGGGACAAGCGCUAGCCUCUAGGAAUGUCCCCACCCUUUGGGCCAGACGUGAUCACGAAGUCCUCUACUCAUGGGGGCCCGUCUAGACUGUGGCGGCAGAGCGUUACCCCCUUUUUCUCAGAUUCUUCCUUCCGCCCUAGGGUCCACUGGGCGGCUCUGAGGGACCCCUCCUGCCGUGGGCCUCAGUUUCCCCACUGAGAUCCUCAGGAAAGCCUGACCGUUAGGCUCAGACCGUCUAUGCCCCUCCUCCAAGCCCAAGCCUUUCCCGGGGUCACGCUGUGUCUGGCGGGGAGGGUUGUCGUUGUUUUGCAGCUUCAAGGAAGACCCCCGAGGACACCGCGAGGACCCGAACUUCCGCGAAACCAGUGCGGCAGCAGGCUCGGGGCGACAGGUUCCUGCGCAGAGGACGCGGACCAGCGGACUGGCGGACCGGCGGGGUGUCCGGAUCGCUCCCCGAGCCCCAUCGGACACUCGUGCGGGGACCGGACGGAGGGCGGCCCAGCCGCGCUCCGCUUCCUCUCGGCAACGCGUCCGACCGCGGCGCCCUCAUUGGCCGCGCGCCCCGCGGCCGACCAUUGGCUCCGCCGGCCCUACUUUACAUGGCCCGCUCUGGGCCAAUAGGCGCGAGGCGCCUACUUAACAUGCACGCUGGCCUCCAAUCAGCGGGCGCGGGGGCCGGGCCCCCACGUGCUGUUGCUAAGCUUGGGCUUCUAAAUUGUUACUACCGCGGCGGGCCUAUCCGAGCGGAGCCUCGCAGCUGUCAACAUUCUCGGCCCCGCCCGAGGCUUGCGGCCGGCUCCCAUUGGCCCCGGCCGGGCCCAGGGCCCGCCCCCGCCGCCCGAGCGCAGGCUCCCAUUUGCUGCGCCGGCCGCCGCUCGCCCUUAUGUGUCAAUUUGAGGGCCGCGAGGCGAAGGGGUGGCGGCCGAGCGCUCGGGGAGUCCGCGGGCGUCUGGGGAAGUGGGGCCGCCGGGCGCGCGGGG